GACGAACGCUGGCGGCGUGCUUAACACAUGCAAGUCGAACGGAAAGGCCCUGCUUUUGUGGGGUGCUCGAGUGGCGAACGGGUGAGUAACCCGUGAGUAACCUGCCCUUGACUUUGGGAUAACUUCAGGCAACUGGGGCUAAUACCGGCUAGGAGCUCCUGCUGCAUGGUGGGGGUUGGAAAGUUUCGGCGGUUGGGGAUGGACUCGCGGCUUAUCAGCUUGUUGGUGGGGUAGUGGCUUACCAAGGCAUUGACGGGUAGCCGGCCUGAGAGGGUGACCGGGCACAUGGGGACUAAGGGACGGCGCAGACUCCUACGGGAGACAGCAGGGGGGAAUAUUGCACAGUGGGCGGAAGCCUGAUGCGGCAACGCCGCGUGCGGGAUGACGGCCUUCGGGGUGGAAACCGCAUUCGCCUGUGACGAAGCGGGAGUGACGGUAAUGGGUAAAGAAGCACCGGCUAACUACGUG
This 468-nucleotide ribosomal RNA is filed under the name uncultured bacterium. Its description in RNAcentral is "partial 16S ribosomal RNA". It matches the Rfam family "Bacterial small subunit ribosomal RNA", at positions 28 to 507 of the family's 1533-position model. The record is from RNAcentral.